GACGAACGCUGGCGGCGUGCUUAACACAUGCAAGUCGAACGGAAAGGCCCUGCUUUUGUGGGGUGCUCGAGUGGCGAACGGGUGAGUAACACGUGAGUAACCUGCCCUUGACUUUGGGAUAACUUCAGGAAACUGGGGCUAAUAUCGGAUAGGAGCUCAUGCUGCAUGGAGGGGGGUGGAAAGUUUCGGCGGUUGGGGAUGGACUCGCGGCUUAUCAGCUUGUUGGUGGGGUAGUGGCUUACCAAGGCUUUGACGGGUAGCCGGCCUGUGAGGGUGACCGGCCACAUUGGGACUGAGAUACGGCCCAGACUCCUACGGGAGGCAGCAGUGGGGAAUAUUGCACAAUGGGCGGAAGCCUGAUGCAGCAACGCCGCGUGCGGGAUGACGGCCUUCGGGUUGUAAACCGCUUUCGCCUGUGACGACGCGUGAGUGACGGUAAUGGGUAAAGAAGCACCGGCUAACUACGUG
Molecule: ribosomal RNA, 468 nt
Filed under: uncultured bacterium
Lineage: Bacteria
Description: partial 16S ribosomal RNA
Rfam family: Bacterial small subunit ribosomal RNA
Source: RNAcentral